AUCCCGUGGCCCCAAGGAGCCCUGGACGAGAAGAGGAAAGUGCGCCCCCUCCCCGUGGGUGCAGCCCCACAGGUGGAUGGAGCCCCCUCCCAGCCUGCUCCGUGGUUCUCGUUGGGUGAACGAUCCACAUACCACGCCUGGCAGACCUCACCCUGACCUGCUGGAACUUUCUUUGUCUAGCUGUCUCUUCUCUCACUUGGUUCCUGAGGCAGCCCCCGCCCACUUGUCACCCAUUCUGUACACAAUUUCGCGUGAGAUGCUGAAACUUCCCUUGUUCCUAUGCCUAAGCCAGCUCCCUCCCCGACGCCUGCUCCACACCACCGAAUGGGGGAGCCUGGCCUUGUUUCCCCCCCCCCCAACCUGGCAUUAGCCCUGCCUUCAUGCAGGCCUUCGAGAGUUUACAUUUAGGGUCCCUGUGGGUAGCCCCAGCUGCACAGCAUCCUCUCUCAACCUCAGGUUCCUCCUUCGUGAACUGGGUUGGUGGUGUACAGUGACUGAGGUGAACCUGGCUUCCACCGGGACCCUCCUCCUUGGGACAAGGGGGAUGGCCUUCCUGUAGCCUCUGUUUAAAGUCCAAAGAGAGUCUGAGGCAGCCUUGAGCAGAAGCUGGGCCGUGUGGUCCAUGCCCUCUCAGAUCUCCUGUGACUUCCCAGCUCAGUGGAAAAUGCCAGAAGGAGAACCCUUGCCAGGAGGAGGAGGACUGAGAGCCAGGGCUCGCCAGAUCCAGGGAGAAAGGGGCCAGGCCAGGAAGAGGGAGGGACUCAGGUGGGCCAGGCGAAGGGGGACGACCUGGAGGGGCUUCCAGCCUCUGGUCCCUCUGGCUUCCAGUGUCAACUGGACCAGGAAGGAAGUGUCGGGCCAGAGGAGCUAAGCCUUGUGAGGCCGUGUGGGCUGUGAGUCAGGCCCCCAGCCCCUCGGUGGCCGACACCUGUCAUCCCGGCUGCCCUGGAAUUGCCCGGGAAGCAGAGGAGCCCGAAUUAGCAAGUGACAAGGCUCAGCCUUCCCGCCCAGCACUCUGGGCCAGCGCCCCGUGACAGCCAGCGCCACGAGCCCCCCCUGCCUCCUCCACCCCGUGUCACCAUCUUAAGCCCAUCGGGUGAUGCAGGGCCGGGUUUCCAGCGGCUCAGUCCUGGGAGGAGGUGAGGCAGGGGGCGGAGGGGGCUGGAGCAGAAGAAAUAAAGAAGGGAAAGUAGACGUCCCCCCAUUUCCUGCCACAAACCAGCCUCACUGCCGAGGCCUGAGGAUCAGAGACACCGUGCGGCACAGCAAGUCACACUCGCCCCUGGGGGCAGACACUGCACUCACUGAUGACGGUCCCCCCGGGGAGCUCAAGCAGCUCAGACCCUCUGAGCCUCCGCGUCCUCGUCUGUAAGAUGGGGUGAUGGCGGCGCUGCCUCAGUGGGUACUGGGGGCUUAACUGAGUCACGUGCUCAAAGGCUUUAAGCAAAUGCUUCACAAAUGUGGGCUCGGGUGUUCUCUGAAGCCUCUGACCGACCUGGGAAGCGGCUCGCCGAGGCCCUGGGCACCGGGCCUCUGUGCUCCUGAACCAGCCCUCCCGCUGACGCCUGGACAGGGCGAGUGCUCCGUCCAUAGGGACCAGCCCCGAUUGUCCGCGUUCCCGGGUGAUGCUGAGGCUGCUGUUCUGGGGACCCCACUUGAAGAACCACUGUCGUACUAAACCAGGAUCCCCACGGCUGCCUGUACCGUCUCCCUAAAGUAAGAAGAUGAUCAUGUUGCCUCCAUGUUCCCCCAUCCGUCACCUCAGGAUGAAACACAGGCCCUACUCAAAGGGUCAAGCCGACGCCCUUUGUGACCUCACAGCUCCUGGCUUCCACACUCCCUUCCCUCAGGCUUCACGGAGCUGCUGGAAGCUCCCGGAGCGGGUGGAGGCUUCUCAGAGGCUCAGAGGCCCUUCUGUCUCACCCAACCCCCAAUGAACUGCCUCCUACCCUCCUACAAAUCUUGGUGGAGCAUUGCCUCCUCCAGGAAGCCCACCUUGACUGUACUGGGAGCCAUCCUCCAGGCUCCACAGCCCCUGUGUGUCCCUCUUUUGCUGCACGUAACCCACAACAUUGGAGUCCUCUCUCUCCUAGUUUCGAGAAACUUGAGUGUUGACGCCAGGUCUUACUCAUUUCAUGUCCUCGGUGGCCGGCACAGGGCCGUACACCAAUAGGCGAUCAAUAAACGCUCACUGGACAAAUGAAUGGACAAAUGGACGACACAGAGAGGAGUCUUCUGACCAAAGACAGUGGCAGAAACUGCCUGUAGGGCUCAGGGGGGACCCUUGCUUCUCCCCGGGGCCCUGAAAUAAGGCAGGGGAGCUCCCGGCUGAGGGGUAGGGAAGCGUCCUGUUCGAGUUCUUGGCACCCAGGGGCCCCCGGGGACAGGCAGCCACAGCCGCCCACUGACCUCACCGCGGGGGCUGACGGGCUCUCCUGCCCGUGAUGUGCUCAGACAUACAUAAAAACAACAGCUGGGCAGCUGGGCCUUUGUUGGUGUUAAACUUAGCCCCUCGGAGGUCACCCUGAACCAUGACACCCCCUCCACCCCAUGUCCAAGCUGGGGCCGGGCAGGUGCCAACACAGAUAGAGGGCCUUGACGGUGCCAACCCAGAGGGCCUUGACGCCUGGCGAACGCCCAGCCUCCCUGCCACCUCCCCCCACCACCGGCUCCAAUUCUCUCCGAGCCCCAACCCCCCGCAGCCUGCAGCCCUCUCUCUCCGUUGCUCUCGCACUCCUGCCCCUGCUCCAGGGCUGCGCUGCAGGAGCCUCGGGGAGGAAGCGGCCAGGAAGGGGCCUUCUCCAUCGGAGGUUCCAAGGAAGUUCCUCCAAGACCCCGGCCAGGGUGAGAAAACUCUCCAAAACUCCGAGGCUGGGCUGAACCUCCUCCUGAGGGUAGGGAUUCCGGGGACCCCGCCCCUUCCACACUGGGGCAGAGGGUGGGCAGCCUGCUGACUCCUCUCUCGCAAGAAAGAGGGGGCCCCUCCUCCAUGUCCUCCUCAGUGUAGGCUCCAAGCCCAAGGUCUCUUCUCUCCUUGUUGGAGGAGUCACCUGCCUGAGGAUUCGCAACCCCACGUCGUGCCUCCACCUGCUCACCGUGGGGCUGCAGGGGACCCCGGACUCCAGACUCACAGCCACACCCAGACUUACCAUAACGGCUGGAGCAGAGGGGGGAAACCAACCAGGGUGUGUGUGGGAGUGAAAUUCAUUAAUCCUCCGGGACAGUGAGUGCCAGGCUUGGUGAGGCCACCCCUUCUGUUCCCGGCUCAGCCGUCCCGUGUGUCUGUGGCGGCACUUUGCAAAACAGGCUCCGCCAACCCUCGAGGGUAUGUUGCUGGCCUUGUCCACAUGUUGGCCUUUGCCCUGAUGGGGCAGAGACAGUGGUGGGUAGAGCUGCUGGUGCGAAGCAGGGACCGAGGAGCCCAGACGGUGCUGGCCGCCGUGUCCCUGUCCCCCACCCUCUCAGCGGGGCAGCCGGUUUUACUGCAGUGCCCUCGGCGAUGCGGGAAGAAGCGUGAAGUGCGUUGUACUGAAUACAGCAGGUGCACACCCUGUGCGGCUGCCAGGUCCCAACGCAGAAGGAAGGCGCACUUGGUGCCGCUCACGUGGCACGUCAUUUCCACUCGAAAGAGGGAGAGAUUGAAAAACUGUGGUCAGUUGGACUUGAAUAUUGGUAGAUGUUUUCUCCAAAAUGAACCAAACGGGCCUGUCGCUUCAAGGAAAACAGCGGAGAGUACUUGUUGUCAGUUAUAAAAUUCAAGCUUUGGGGCCGGCCUGCAGCUGAGUGGUUAAGUUUGUGUGCUCCGCUUCCACGGCCCAGGGUUUUGCUGGUUCAGAUCCUGGGUGUGGACAUGGCACUGUUCAUCAGGCCAUGCUACGGUGGCGUCCCAUAUAGCAGAACCAGAAGGACCCACAAAUAAAGAUAUACAACUACUUACUCGGGGGCUUGAAGAGAAGAAGAAGAGAAAAAAGAAGAUUGGUAACAGUUGUUAGCUCAGGUGCCCAUCUUUAAAAAAAACGAGAAAGUAAAACAACACCAAGAAAAAAAAUCAAGUUUUAUAAAAUUCAAGCUUUUAAGUGAAAACUCAAAUCUUGGAGAAUUCAUAUCCACCUUUGGGAGCUUCACCGUUUUGCAUGUUGCAAAAGUCUCCGUACGCAGAUGCCCCAAUACGUGAUAAGGUCGGCGGUGAUAAUAAAGAACCUGAUUUUUAGAAAUCAUUGAAUGAGGUAGGAAAUGUGUUAACAUUUGGAAGAUCCAUACGACUCAGGGCACCAAUAUUUUCCAGAUGCCCAAGGUGCAGCGUUACAACAUCGUGCCCAGAUGAGAGGUCCACUCUGACGAAACAGACAAUGAGAUGCCGCUGACGGGCUCCAGGUUCCACGCAGCCGCCAAACUUUAAGAAACUCCCACCUGGCGAGUCUUGACCUAGAACCCGAGAAGAAUGUCCGCAACCCUCUGGAAGGCUGUGAAAACGCUCCUCUCUUUUCUGACUACAUACCUGUGUGAGGCUGGAUAUCUUCUGUGUCCUCCCACCAAGGUGCGUUACGACAGAUCGGCUGCAGAGGCAGGUAUGAGAGUCCAGCUGACUCCUAGCAAACCAGAUGUCCAAGAGAUUCAUAAAAACGUAAAACAAUGCCACUCUUAUUAGGUACUUUUAUUUCAUAAUUUUAUUAUGAGACAUUUUAUUUAUAAUAAAUCAUAGUUUUCUUUAUUUUUAUUUAUGUUUGUAUUAUUUAUAACAUUGUAUUUAUAAAAGUAUUUUAUUCAUAUUAACACGUAAGACGGGCCUAUGAUUAUAAUUAUUAAAUGAAUUAAUAUUUUAAAAAUUUCUCAGUUUUCAUUUCUGAUAAGGUAUUUAUUGACACCUCUGACUGACUUAAAAAGUCUUUAGGGUCCUCAGUAAAGAGUGUAAAAAAGUCUUGAGCCCCCAAAUUUGAGAACCACUAUUUCUGGUUUUCGUGGUUGAUUAUCAUUAUUAUUGUCCUGACUCACUUAUGUUAUCUAUCAAAUAAAGUAAAAAACAAAAGCGAUCAAGAAAAAAUGAAGCAUGAUUUUUAAUUCUGUCAAGUGACAGCCGGUAACAGGAAUCAAUCAAGAAAUUCUUAACACCCUGUUGAGUGCGGGAGACGCCACCGCCAGGGAGCUCCGAGGAUUUCACGGGCUUAAUAAAAUGUCCCUAAAAUGACAAGUUAGGGAUGUUUUCAAAAUGAACUGCGUGGAACAGUUUGAGCGGGCAGCUGUGAGUUGUGGUUCAGUCCUUCUCUCCGUAUCUUUGUGAGAAAACUCCGGCUUUGACAGGCGGCCUCCGGGAGCCCAGGUCAGAUCCCAGGAGCUGGGGAUGCAGGUCUCCCCCUCACCACCAGAGGGAGCAUUGGUGCAGGGCUGGAGCAAACGCAGCCGAUCUGACAGCAGUGCUGUGUGACACACAGGCUAUAACCCGAUGCAGCUGUUUGAAAAUGGGUGUCUUUCUUAAGCACCUCCUCCUCGUGUGCAAUCACUCGCGGUAACUCAGGAGGUUCCGCCGGGGGUGAAAUGCACGCUUGCUGCAUUUUCGCAUGCAUUUUUGAAGCAUGAGACUUCUCCGUGCCUCAGACUAGAAUCCAGACAGAAAUGGAGCCUUAUCCUGCUUUGUCGUCCACGUGAAGAUGUGACAAACUCCCCGGACAUCUGUAAUACACGCAAUAAG
This is a long non-coding RNA of Equus asinus (donkey), 5686 nucleotides long. NCBI's taxonomy places the organism in Eukaryota, Metazoa, Chordata, Mammalia, Perissodactyla, Equidae. The record is from Ensembl.